Notolabrus celidotus (New Zealand spotty) is the source of this 563-nucleotide long non-coding RNA. RefSeq lists it as uncharacterized. NCBI's taxonomy places the organism in Eukaryota, Metazoa, Chordata, Actinopteri, Labriformes, Labridae. The transcript is spliced from 6 exons. The record is from RefSeq and is a predicted model, not a curated record.
AGUCUUCAGUAUCCCUGUACCAGUUGUUGCUGAGGGUGCGGGAAGCAAAUAAGGAUCUUUGCAAAGUUUGGGGUUACCUCACGUGGAUUUGAAAAAAAUGGAGCAUUUAAUGGAUGAAUCUUUUAAGGACAAUAAAAUGAGGGAUUACUGGAGAAGCAUGUGAAAGAGUGCCUGAACCGUUUGGGUUUAACAGAGCAGGACUUUGAAGAACUGAUGCGAAAGAAGGCCCAUAUGUCAGAAGAGGAGGCACUUGAAUGGCUGAAGCAGCACAUUAACUGAAAGUUCACGAGUCCCUGGUGUGAACAAACUUCAAGAAGCAGCACAGCAAUCAAUGAUCAUGUUACACCAACUCUACAUCGUGUACACCCAUGAUCUUUGAAUAUAAUUUAUGCGAUCAUAUACAUUAAAAUCGUGUUUGUGUUUUAUUGAUAAUGAAUUUAAGUCAAGCAGCUGUGUAACAAUCAUGCGAUAACCAUGUAGGAACUGUCUACAGAAAGGGACAUUUUUAAACCACCUGAAGAAAAACGGCUGUCUUUUACAUUUCAAUAAAUUAAAUGAAGGAA